ACUUCUUACAUUCAGGGAUACCCAGACAGUAAUCCAGCCAGGGCUUGUGAAGAAAGACAGGGAGAAGACCAUUUCCACUGGACACUCAACCCAUCCAUCCUAGCCACACAGAAAUGAAGGCAAAGAGCACUUCCUGGCAAGCAAGAGUUAAACAGAAGACUGAAUCCUCUUGCUGUGAAGACCAUCAAGGCCAAAUCUAGGAGGAUGCAAGACCCUGGUUAAGAAGGAAGCCCAGCCAUUUGUCCUUGGUCUCCUGGUAUACUGAUUGCAUUACCAACUUUCAGAGCCACUAUCAAGAGAAUUUGACUGUACAGUCACCUCUAACUCACGAAUUAUGGGACAUUAAGCCAGAAAGAAUAUCUCAACCCUCCCAUAUUUGUUCAGACCAUUAAACUAUCUUAUAUAGAGAGCAUAUUGGAAUUUGUAAUUUCUGUAGCCACAUCAAAUAAA
Molecule: long non-coding RNA, 450 nt
Filed under: Homo sapiens (human)
Lineage: Eukaryota; Metazoa; Chordata; Mammalia; Primates; Hominidae
Description: HSALNT0292441
Source: RNAcentral